Molecule: ribosomal RNA, 378 nt
Filed under: uncultured cyanobacterium
Lineage: Bacteria; Bacillati; Cyanobacteriota
Description: bacterial SSU rRNA
Rfam family: Bacterial small subunit ribosomal RNA
Source: RNAcentral
CGCAAGCCUGACGGAGCAAUGCCACGUGGAGGAUGAAGGCCCAUGGGUCGUAAACUCCUUUUCUCAGAAAAGAAAUUUGACGGUAUCUGAGGAAUAAGCAUCGGCUAACUCCGUGCCAGCAGCCGCGGUAAUACGGAGGAGGCAAGCGUUAUCCGGAAUUAUUGGGCGUAAAGAGUCCGUAGGUGGUUCAUCAAGUCUGCUGUUAAAGCGUGCAGCUCAACUGCAUAUAGGCAGUGGAAACUGUUGAACUAGAGUAUGGUAGGGGUAGGGGGAAUUCCCAGUGUAGCGGUGAAAUGCGUAGAGAUUGGGAAGAACACCGGUGGCGAAAGCGCCCUACUGGGCCAUAACUGACACUGAGGGACGAAAGCUAGGGUAGCG